Molecule: ribosomal RNA, 253 nt
Filed under: uncultured bacterium
Lineage: Bacteria
Description: partial 16S ribosomal RNA
Rfam family: Bacterial small subunit ribosomal RNA
Source: RNAcentral
GACAGAGGGUGCAAACGUUGUUCGGAAUUACUGGGCGUAAAGGGCUCGUAGGCGGCCAACUAAGUCCGACGUGAAAUCCCCAGGCUUAACCUGGGAACUGCGUCGGAUACUGGAUGGCUUGAAUUCGGGAGAGGGAUGCAGAAUUCCAGGUGUAGCGGUGAAAUGCGUAGAUAUCUGGAGGAAUACCGGUGGCGAAGGCGGCAUCCUGGACCGACAUUGACGCUGAUGAGCGAAAGCUAGGGGAGCAAACGGG